This 73-nucleotide transfer RNA is filed under the name Plutella xylostella (diamondback moth). RNAcentral's name for it is "tRNA-Lys". Lineage: Eukaryota; Metazoa; Arthropoda; Insecta; Lepidoptera; Plutellidae. The record is from RNAcentral.
GACCGAAUGGCGUAGUGGUUAGUGACCCUGACUUUUGAGCCGAUGGUCCCGGGUUCGAUUCCCGGCUGGGGCA